Molecule: transfer RNA, 76 nt
Filed under: Aeromonas phage phiWae14
Description: tRNA-His
Rfam family: tRNA
About the family: Transfer RNA (tRNA) molecules are approximately 80 nucleotides in length. Their secondary structure includes four short double-helical elements and three loops (D, anti-codon, and T loops).
Source: RNAcentral
GUGACGGUAGUUCAGUCGGUAGAACUCCAGGUUGUGAUCCUGGUAGUCACGGGUUCGAAGCCCGUCCGUCACCCCA